This is a small nuclear RNA of Hyaena hyaena (striped hyena), 105 nucleotides long. NCBI's taxonomy places the organism in Eukaryota, Metazoa, Chordata, Mammalia, Carnivora, Hyaenidae. The record is from RefSeq and is a predicted model, not a curated record.
GCUCCCUUUAGCAGAACAGACAGUAAAAUUGGAAGGAUACAGAGAAGACUGGCAUGCAACCUGCAUAAGGGUGACAUACAGAUUUGAGAGGCAUUCCAUAAUAAG